CUUCCUCCAUCCAUCUUCCUCUCAUUCUCUCACACUCUCACUCUCUCGACCACCACAUUCUCAUAUUAUCGAUAGAGAAGAGUUAUAGAUUCAUUUGUUCUCGAUCUAUAAGAUAUCUUCUUAUUUUCCGUUCUGUAUUAUUUUUGGAUCUUUUUUGUUUGAUUUUUCUUUAUCAUCUUAACUCAUUAGUCCUGAGUGAUUUCAUGCCUAGAAUCUGUCUAUAGUUUUGUUUUUGCAGUGACAAAUCUAUCGUUUGGAGUGGCAACUGAGG
RNAcentral lists this long non-coding RNA (271 nucleotides) under Elaeis guineensis (African oil palm). Its description in RNAcentral is "long non-coding RNA (EGUI_LNC060659)". The record is from RNAcentral. Lineage: Eukaryota; Viridiplantae; Streptophyta; Magnoliopsida; Arecales; Arecaceae.